UUUCUGUAGGUGAACCUGCGGAAGGAUCAUUAUCGUACAAAAUGUGAGGGGCAUUCGAGGGCUGUCGCUCACCCAAAAGUCGUGCACUCCCGAGUGUGUCCUCUUCCAUAAUAAUCCAUCUCACCCUUUGUGCAUCACCGCGUGGGAACCCUUCGGGAUCAUCUCGGAGGGGGGCUCGCGUUUUCACACAAAACCCCCUUUUAAACGUGUAGAAUGACCACAUUUAUGCAAUCAAUACAACUUUCAACAACGGAUCUCUUGGCUCUC
RNAcentral lists this unclassified non-coding RNA (267 nucleotides) under plant metagenome. RNAcentral's name for it is "partial contains small subunit ribosomal RNA, internal transcribed spacer 1, and 5.8S ribosomal RNA". The record is from RNAcentral.